GGAUUGUGGCUCAGUGGUAGAGUGCACAUCUAGCGUGCAUAAAGCACUGGGUUCGAUCCCCAGCACCA
This 68-nucleotide transfer RNA is filed under the name Marmota monax (woodchuck). RNAcentral's name for it is "tRNA.Ala". Lineage: Eukaryota; Metazoa; Chordata; Mammalia; Rodentia; Sciuridae. The record is from RNAcentral.